UUUGACCACAUGAAAUUGUGACUUUGAAAGGAUGUGUCUAGAUUAGUUCCUUGUAAUCAACUACAGAUUAGUUACCUCUUUUUGAAUGGCAGCUGCUUUUGCCUGAUCAGCAUUUUUUAUAGUCAAUAACUGCAGGGAAGACUGUACACACAGAAUUAUAGGAUGUUGGUGAUGUUGGUGUUAGAAUGCACCUCUGUAGGAUGUAGGCUUUUGCAUCAUGGUAGGAGAUUUGGAGACAGAGUCUUAUCUAGUUCAAGCCUGUAGUUCCACCAACUAUUAAACCAGUUUAGAAGCUUGACAUCUUAGUCUAUUUCAUUACCUAUUAAAUUCCUACCUCACAGGGUGAUUAUAGGGAACAAUUAAGAAGAAGGUGUGAAAAUAUUUUAUGAACUAUAAAGCAGGAAUACCGUAUAAAUUAUCUAUUUCAACCCUUUCAUUUGCCAGAAGAGAAACCUUAGGCUGAGAGAUUUGAAGCUUCUUUUGUUUAGAGUUUUCUAAAUCCUAGCUGAAUCUCUUUUACUAAAUCACACACUCUUGGACAACAGGGACUCAUUUUAUUCUCAUGCCCCUCACAGCAGCUAACGUGAAAAUGUGGUUCUUUAUUAGAGACAGCUCCUAUCUCAGGGGAGCACUACAAUUACUUUCUAUGACUGACCAUAGUUUAGGAAAGAAUUCCAGGCCAAAGACCUAUCUAGAACCCAAGGAUUUUGGUGGAAACCACCAGUCAUUCGAUUCCAAGCUAAUCUUUAACCUGAAGUAUCUUAAUGAUACUUAGUAAAUCCUUAGAUUCAAUGAAAAGAACCUAGCUGGCAUUUUGAUGCCACACUCAAUACAGGGGCAUUUGAAAGGAUAGAAGGACUUUAUUUCAUAGAACUUCACUCAAUUGAACUUGUCAAGAAAAUUCAGAAGAUAUUAGAUUAAUAUACAAGUAAUAAAUCCGUCACGGACCGUUGAUAGAAUCCAUGUGCAUUCCUUGAGUUGGAGGAAAAUGCUCUCAAUACAAUUUUUCCUGCAUUCUCUAAAAACAUCCAUUGGAAUUAACAUGAGAGAUAAUGCUGGACUGAACUCUGGCUGAAAUCAUUAUGAGGUAGUCUCUAUUACAGCUUUAGGAACGACCAUGCCUAUGAAACAUAGCCAUUACUGGAAUUUAUAUUUUAAGUUAUGAGCACAGUCUGGGCACGGUGGCUCAUGCCUGUAAUUUCAGCACUUUGGGAGGCCAAGGUGAGAACUGCUUGAGGCCAGGAGUUAGAGACCAGCCUAGACAACAUAGUAAAACCCCAUCUCUACAGAGAAAUAAAAAAUUAGCCAGGCGUGGUGGCAUGCCUGUAGUCCCAGUUACUCAGGAGGGUGAGGCAAGAAGAUUCCUUGAGCCCAGGAGUUCCAGGCUGCAGUAAGAUGUGAUUGUACCACUGCCUACAACCUGGGUGACAGAGUGAGACCCAAGACCCUAUCUAAAAAAAAAAGAAAAA
This 1469-nucleotide long non-coding RNA is filed under the name Macaca fascicularis (crab-eating macaque). RNAcentral's name for it is "lncRNA (ENSMFAG00000053404.1)". Lineage: Eukaryota; Metazoa; Chordata; Mammalia; Primates; Cercopithecidae. The record is from RNAcentral.